Molecule: ribosomal RNA, 551 nt
Filed under: uncultured eukaryote
Lineage: Eukaryota
Description: SSU rRNA
Rfam family: Eukaryotic small subunit ribosomal RNA
Source: RNAcentral
GUAGUCAUAUGCUUGUCUCAAAGAUUAAGCCAUGCAUGUCUAAGUAUAAGCAAUUAUACCGUGAAACUGCGAAUGGCUCAUUAAAUCAGUUAUCGUUUAUUUGAUAGUACCUUACUACUUGGAUAACCGUGGUAAUUCUAGAGCUAAUACAUGCUGAAAACCCCAACUUCGGAAGGGGUGUAUUUAUUAGAUAAAAAACCAAUGCCCUUCGGGGCUCCUUGGUGAUUCAUAAUAACUUCUCAGAUCGCAUGGCCUUGCGCCGGCGACGGUUCAUUCAAAUUUCUGCCCUAUCAACUUUCGAUGGUAAGGUAUUGGCUUACCAUGGUUUCAACGGGUAACGGGGAAUUAGGGUUCGAUUCCGGAGAGGGAGCCUGAGAAACGGCUACCACAUCCAAGGAAGGCAGCAGGCGCGCAAAUUACCCAAUCCCGACACGGUGAGGUAGUGACAAUAAAUACUGAUACAGGGCUCUUUUGGGUCUUGUAAUUGGAAUGAGUACAAUUUAAACCUCUUAACGAGGAACAAUUGGAGGGCAAGUCUGGUGCCAGCAGCC